Molecule: long non-coding RNA, 878 nt
Organism: Neopsephotus bourkii (Bourke's parrot)
Lineage: Eukaryota; Metazoa; Chordata; Aves; Psittaciformes; Psittacidae
Exons: 2
Source: RefSeq, a predicted model, not a curated record
ACUUCACAGAUGCUGCUGAGCUCUGCCACCGAGAGACAAAUCCCAGAAGGGGAAGAGAGCGUGGUGGGGAGGGAAGAGAUGAAAGCAGAAAAGAGCCGCAUUUAUUAAGCUGUUUUUCUUUCAGAGAAAAGAAGCAUUUAUCAGUGAUUUCAUAUAUCAUGUGAGAUGUGGCUCCCUGCCAAUUUCUAAGGAUGCAAAAAAGCCACUGACAUCACUCACUAAAUAUAGAGCAGCUCCUGCUUUAGGUGAAUAAAUAAUGCAGAUGCAAAAGCCCAGGUCUUCAGUUACACAUUCAUUACCAUCUGUCUGUCAGGUUCUCAUCAUCAGGAGAACAACGUCCGACUCCGGCAAGGAGUGACAGGUGAAGAAUGCAAAACAACUGCAAACAAUAGAUCAAAGGCACUGAGCAGGAGGAAGCAGCGUCCCAACCCAUCCUUACUGGUGGAGAACAGAUACAGGGAAGCAGGAAACAAGAAGACAAUGUGCCAUCAAAGCUGCUGCAAGGUGUUGGAUCAAUGACAACAUCUGCAUGAGGGUCUGGGCUACAAUAGAAGCUGUUACCAUGGGAACGGGUGCAAAAGCAUCAGGCGGGAAGGAGCAGGCGAUGAUGAAAGGUGGGAAAGUGGGAGAGGGUAUUUUUAGAUCGCUUAGGAGGAAUGCCACACAAUGACAUCAUCCUAUCUCAUUAUUUGCACCCAUGCUGUAUAACGCAUUGUGGCGUCUGCCCCAGGCUGUUAAAUGGGAAAACGUUAUUAUGGAUGUGAAUUACAAAUACUGCAGUGAAACUUGAGCUCGGGAGUUAUUAGGCAUCACUAUUCUGUAAUAAAGGAGAGCAUUUAAUACACUGUGCUCUACAGAUCCAGUGUACAGCACAAGAA